AAAAAAAGACAAUCUGAGUUUCCGUGUCUAACGUUUGACUAUCCGUUUUAUAUGAUGUUUUUUAUAAUUAGUAUUUUCAUUAUUGUUAGAUGAUAAAACAUGAUUAAUACUUUAUGCGUAACUUGUCUUUUUAAUUUUUUUUAUAUUUUUUUUAAAUAAGACGGACGGUCAAACGUUGGACACGGAAACUCAGGGUUUGUCUUUUU
Molecule: microRNA precursor, 206 nt
Organism: Oryza sativa Japonica Group (Japanese rice)
Lineage: Eukaryota; Viridiplantae; Streptophyta; Magnoliopsida; Poales; Poaceae
Rfam family: MIR812 microRNA precursor family
Source: Rfam